GCCCCUAUAGCUUAAUUGGAUAGAGCGCAGGCCUCCGGAGCCUGAAAUCUCCGUUCAACUCGGAGUAGGGGCAC
RNAcentral lists this transfer RNA (74 nucleotides) under Parcubacteria group bacterium ADurb.Bin305. Its description in RNAcentral is "tRNA-Arg". It matches the Rfam family "tRNA". Rfam says of the family: Transfer RNA (tRNA) molecules are approximately 80 nucleotides in length. The record is from RNAcentral.